RNAcentral lists this ribosomal RNA (671 nucleotides) under uncultured bacterium. RNAcentral's name for it is "bacterial SSU rRNA". It matches the Rfam family "Bacterial small subunit ribosomal RNA", at positions 138 to 807 of the family's 1533-position model. The record is from RNAcentral.
CGGGGAUAGCCUUGCGAAAGCAAGAUUAAUACCCGAUGUUCUCACUGUUCCGCAUGUUACGGUGAGCAAAGAAUUUCGGUAUGCGAUGGCGAUGCGUCCAUUAGCUAGUUGGCGGGGUAACGGCCCACCAAGGCUCCGAUGGGUAGGGGUUCUGAGAGGAAGGUCCCCCACACUGGAACUGAGACACGGUCCAGACUCCUACGGGAGGCAGCAGUGAGGAAUAUUGGUCAAUGGACGCAAGUCUGAACCAGCCAAGUAGCGUGCAGGAUGACGGCCCUCCGGGUUGUAAACUGCUUUUAGUUGGGAAUAAAAGGGGGCUCGUGAGCCCCGUAUUGUAUGUACCAUCAGAAAAAGGACCGGCUAAUUCCGUGCCAGCAGCCGCGGUAAUACGGAAGGUCCGGGCGUUAUCCGGAUUUAUUGGGUUUAAAGGGAGCGUAGGCCGGCUUUUAAGUCAGCUGUGAAAGUCCGCGGCUCAACCGUGGAAUUGCAGUUGAAACUGGAGGCCUUGAGUGCACACAGGGAUGCCGGAAUUCAUGGUGUAGCGGUGAAAUGCUUAGAUAUCAUGAAGAACUCCGAUCGCGAAGGCAAGUGUCCGGGGUGCAACUGACGCUGAGGCUCGAAAGUGCGGGUAUCAAACAGGAUUAGAUACCCUGGUAGUCCGCACCGUAAAC